RNAcentral lists this ribosomal RNA (1406 nucleotides) under Lactobacillus sp. Its description in RNAcentral is "bacterial SSU rRNA". It matches the Rfam family "Bacterial small subunit ribosomal RNA", at positions 60 to 1433 of the family's 1533-position model. The record is from RNAcentral. Lineage: Bacteria; Bacillati; Bacillota; Bacilli; Lactobacillales; Lactobacillaceae.
AGUCGACGAACUCUGGUAUUGAUUGGUGCUUGCAUCAUGAUUUACAUUUGAGUGAGUGGCGAACUGGUGAGUAACACGUGGGAAACCUGCCCAGAAGCGGGGGAUAACACCUGGAAACAGAUGCUAAUACCGCAUAACAACUUGGACCGCAUGGUCCGAGUUUGAAAGAUGGCUUCGGCUAUCACUUUUGGAUGGUCCCGCGGCGUAUUAGCUAGAUGGUGAGGUAACGGCUCACCAUGGCAAUGAUACGUAGCCGACCUGAGAGGGUAAUCGGCCACAUUGGGACUGAGACACGGCCCAAACUCCUACGGGAGGCAGCAGUAGGGAAUCUUCCACAAUGGACGAAAGUCUGAUGGAGCAACGCCGCGUGAGUGAAGAAGGGUUUCGGCUCGUAAAACUCUGUUGUUAAAGAAGAACAUAUCUGAGAGUAACUGUUCAGGUAUUGACGGUAUUUAACCAGAAAGCCACGGCUAACUACGUGCCAGCAGCCGCGGUAAUACGUAGGUGGCAAGCGUUGUCCGGAUUUAUUGGGCGUAAAGCGAGCGCAGGCGGUUUUUUAAGUCUGAUGUGAAAGCCUUCGGCUCAACCGAAGAAGUGCAUCGGAAACUGGGAAACUUGAGUGCAGAAGAGGACAGUGGAACUCCAUGUGUAGCGGUGAAAUGCGUAGAUAUAUGGAAGAACACCAGUGGCGAAGGCGGCUGUCUGGUCUGUAACUGACGCUGAGGCUCGAAAGUAUGGGUAGCAAACAGGAUUAGAUACCCUGGUAGUCCAUACCGUAAACGAUGAAUGCUAAGUGUUGGAGGGUUUCCGCCCUUCAGUGCUGCAGCUAACGCAUUAAGCAUUCCGCCUGGGGAGUACGGCCGCAAGGCUGAAACUCAAAGGAAUUGACGGGGGCCCGCACAAGCGGUGGAGCAUGUGGUUUAAUUCGAAGCUACGCGAAGAACCUUACCAGGUCUUGACAUACUAUGCAAAUCUAAGAGAUUAGACGUUCCCUUCGGGGACAUGGAUACAGGUGGUGCAUGGUUGUCGUCAGCUCGUGUCGUGAGAUGUUGGGUUAAGUCCCGCAACGAGCGCAACCCUUAUUAUCAGUUGCCAGCAUUAAGUUGGGCACUCUGGUGAGACUGCCGGUGACAAACCGGAGGAAGGUGGGGAUGACGUCAAAUCAUCAUGCCCCUUAUGACCUGGGCUACACACGUGCUACAAUGGAUGGUACAACGAGUUGCGAACUCGCGAGAGUAAGCUAAUCUCUUAAAGCCAUUCUCAGUUCGGAUUGUAGGCUGCAACUCGCCUACAUGAAGUCGGAAUCGCUAGUAAUCGCGGAUCAGCAUGCCGCGGUGAAUACGUUCCCGGGCCUUGUACACACCGCCCGUCACACCAUGAGAGUUUGUAACACCCAAAGUCGGUGG